CAUUGUCGAACCCUGCACAGCAGAAUGACCCGUGAACAUGUACUAACAACCGGGCGUCGUUUGGACGGGGCUCGUUUCCUGUCCUCGCGCUGCCCUGUCGGUGUGCGUGCGUGUUGGCCCGUUCUCGGGCCUUGAGCGCGUCGCGCCGGCACAACAACAAACCCCGGCACGGCACGUGCCAAGGAAUAUACUAAACCUAAGAAGGGCUCGCAGCCUGAUGCCCCGUUCGCGGUGUGCUCUUGCUGCGUGGCCUCUUUGUGAAUCACAAACGACUCUCGGCAACGGAUAUCUCGGCUCACGCAUCGAUGAAGAACGUAGCAAAAUGCGAUACUUGGUGUGAAUUGCAGAAUCCCGUGAACCAUCGAGUUUUUGAACGCAAGUUGCGCCCGAAGCCUUUUGGCCGAGGGCACGUCUGCCUGGGCGUCACGCAUCGCGUCGCCCCCCACCACGCAUCCCUUUUGGUGAUGCCUGGUGCGGGGGCGGAGAUUGGCCUCCCGUUCCAAUGGCGCGGUUGGCCAAAAUCUGAGUCCCCUUCGGUGGACGCACGGCAAGUGGUGGUUGAUAAAACUCUCGUCUCGUGUCGUGCGUUCUAAACCUCGAUGGGCUAGCUCUCCAAAGACCCCAACGUGUCGUCUCGCGACGAUGCUUCGACCGCGACCCCAGGUCAGGCGGGACUACCC
This 680-nucleotide ribosomal RNA is filed under the name Calendula incana. Its description in RNAcentral is "eukaryotic LSU rRNA". The stretch from base 271 to 426 matches the Rfam family "5.8S ribosomal RNA". Lineage: Eukaryota; Viridiplantae; Streptophyta; Magnoliopsida; Asterales; Asteraceae. The record is from RNAcentral.